GCAUCCUGUGGAAAGGAAAGCAACUCAUUCACGACAUAUUUCUUACGGACAUGUCACGACUCGACUGAUGCAACUGGAUGACGAUUUGACGACUACUACGAGUGACUUGGCUGGCUAUUUUUACUAUGGAUUACUAGGGAUGGCCAUUGGGGAUUAUCUCUUAUCAAUUUGGGUGAUUACAUUAUAGACGAUCGUUAAGCUAUUUGAUGUAAACGAGAUGGCGGAGUGCAAAAUAAGCGCGAAGAGAAUAAGAAAAAGAAGAAUUUCGUGGCCGCCAUGUUGGUACGCCUGUGAGAUAACCGUUGCUGGCUAUGGAUAAUCAGGGGAUUGCAUCUUCGAGCAAGGCAGAGCUUGUCUUAAUAAUAUCCUUUGUCGAAGACAACUA
Long non-coding RNA from Nematostella vectensis (starlet sea anemone), 385 nucleotides. RefSeq lists it as uncharacterized. The transcript is spliced from 2 exons. NCBI's taxonomy places the organism in Eukaryota, Metazoa, Cnidaria, Anthozoa, Actiniaria, Edwardsiidae. The record is from RefSeq and is a predicted model, not a curated record.